Molecule: ribosomal RNA, 497 nt
Filed under: uncultured bacterium
Lineage: Bacteria
Description: partial 16S ribosomal RNA
Rfam family: Bacterial small subunit ribosomal RNA
Source: RNAcentral
GAUGAACGCUGGCGGCGUGCCUAAUACAUGCAAGUCGAGCGAACGGACGAGAAGCUUGCUUCUCUGAUGUUAGCGGCGGACGGGUGAGUAACACGUGGAUAACCUACCUAUAAGACUGGGAUAACUUCGGGAAACCGGAGCUAAUACCGGAUAAUAUUUUGAACCGCAUGGUUCAAAAGUAAAAGACGUUCUUGCUGUCACUUAUAGAUGGAUCCGCGCUGCAUUAGCUAGUUGGUAAGGUAACGGCUUACCAAGGCAACGAUGCAUAGCCGACCUGAGAGGGUGAUCGGCCACACUGGAACUGAGACACGGUCCAGACUCCUACGGGAGGCAGCAGUAGGGAAUCUUCCGCAAUGGGCGAAAGCCUGACGGAGCAACGCCGCGUGAGUGAUGAAGGUCUUCGGAUCGUAAAACUCUGUUAUUAGGGAAGAACAUAUGUGUAAGUAACUGUGCACAUCUUGACGGUACCUAAUCAGAAAGCCACGGCUAACUACGUG